This 1107-nucleotide long non-coding RNA is filed under the name Ananas comosus (pineapple). RNAcentral describes it as "long non-coding RNA (ACOM_LNC002764)". Lineage: Eukaryota; Viridiplantae; Streptophyta; Magnoliopsida; Poales; Bromeliaceae. The record is from RNAcentral.
AUUGAAAAUUUUGUUAAAUUUAGCAAUAAAAAGAGUAAAUUUGGGAGCUUCUAUUUUAAGGGGGUGCGCGUUAGAAUUUGCGGGAUGAGUUGAUAAGAUAAUCGGGAGAUAAAGUUCUUAAGAGAUAUUUUAUCUAACUAUCAUAAUAAAAAUUACAUAUAACAGUUUCUCUUAAGAAUUUGACAGAUUUCGUCUGCUGUAUUUUUACUAGCAUGAUCGUUUUCGUACUCAUAAGUCGUUUUCGAUAAUAGAGCUUUUGAAUCGACGAUGCAUAUACCGCUAUGUAUAAUUUAAAGCAUUCAAACAGAUUAGAAAUCGAAUUUCAUGAUUUUUUUUAUAUCAUAUACCUUACGAUAAAAGGUUUCAAAAUUGACAAUUUUAACGGUAUUAGGCGUUUUCCAGUUUUGUAGUGUAGAGAAUCAGAAUUGGUCGAAUUCUUUUGCAAAAAAAUUUAUUCACUAUUUAGAUCAAAAUUAAUAACUGCAAUCAUGAAUUGAAUAUUCCGAUCAUCUAUUUUUAAGGAGAUCAUUCAAUUUUUACUGUUUAUUAUCAAUUAUUUGAUGAGCUUUGAUAUAAAGUUUAAAAAACUAUGAAAUUCAAUUUAUAGAUAUUUUAAAUGCUUUAAAUUAUAUUUGACAAUAUGAAUUAUUGACUCAGAAGCUUUAUUAUUAAAAUAGUUUAUAAGUAUAAAAUUUUUUGUAUUUAUAAAAAUAUAGUAGCUUAUUUGAAAAUUGCAUGGUAGUACUCAAACGGACAAAUUCCCGCUAAAUACCACAGUGGUGGGACCAAGAGACAAAUUUGUGAAAGGAAAAUUUUGCCCCUCUUUAAUAAACAAAAGUACAAAUGGUGCAUUGUCACAUUUGCAACUAUUGAGUAAAAUAUUUAUAGGAGUUCAAGUGAUAAGAGUUUUGAAUAUUAAAAUAUUUAUAGAAGUUUUGAAUAUAGGCCAAUUCACAUAAAAAUAUACAAGUUUUGAGCUUUUAUAAAACUGGACCGUUUUUUUUAAUUUUACAGAUUUGAUCUAAAUUUUUAGUAAACUGAUCAAAAUAUCCUUAUAUCUUUUUCUCUCUUCUUUUUUUUUGACGUUCUGUUUUUUUCCUCGCCGAA